This 219-nucleotide long non-coding RNA is filed under the name Elaeis guineensis (African oil palm). Its description in RNAcentral is "long non-coding RNA (EGUI_LNC037241)". Lineage: Eukaryota; Viridiplantae; Streptophyta; Magnoliopsida; Arecales; Arecaceae. The record is from RNAcentral.
UGGUAGAGAAGGAGAGCGCUAAAAAUAAUGCAUUGCGACUCUUCAGAAACAUCGAUGAAAAGUCUGUGAAGACUCCUUUUACUUUAAGACUCUUAGGUGCCACUUAUAUCAGAUAAUCUCCUAGUUUUGAAUCAUUUAAAAAAAGAGUUUUCAUGUGUAAAAAUUUGGAAUUAAUCUGAUUAAUGGAUAGAUGCUUAUUGCACCUUUUAUUGGGCACGC